CGAACGCUGGCGGCGUGCUUAACACAUGCAAGUCGAACGGAAAGGCCCUGCUUUUGUGGGGUGCUCGAGUGGCGAACGGGUGAGUAACACGUGAGUAACCUGCCCUUGACUUUGGGAUAACUUCAGGAAACUGGGGCUAAUACCGGAUAGGAGCUCCUGCUGCAUGGUGGGGGUUGGAAAGUUUCGGCGGUUGGGGCUGGACUCGCGGCUUAUCAGCUUGUUGGUGGGGUAGUGGCUUACCAAGGCUUUGACGGGUAGCCGGCCUGAGAGGGUGACCGGCCACAUUGGGACUGAGAUACGGCCCAGACUCCUACGGGAGGCAGCAGUGGGGAAUAUUGCACAAUGGGCGGAAGCCUGAUGCAGCAACGCCGCGUGCGGGAUGACGGCCUUCGGGUUGUAAACCGCUUUCGCCUGUGACGAAGCGUGAGUGACGGUAAUGGGUAAAGAAGCACCGGCUAACUACGUG
Molecule: ribosomal RNA, 466 nt
Filed under: uncultured bacterium
Lineage: Bacteria
Description: partial 16S ribosomal RNA
Rfam family: Bacterial small subunit ribosomal RNA
Source: RNAcentral